RNAcentral lists this ribosomal RNA (254 nucleotides) under uncultured bacterium. RNAcentral describes it as "partial 16S ribosomal RNA". It matches the Rfam family "Bacterial small subunit ribosomal RNA", at positions 524 to 776 of the family's 1533-position model. The record is from RNAcentral.
UACGUAGGGGGCGAGCGUUGUCCGGAUUUAUUGGGCGUAAAGAGCUCGUAGGCGGUGUGUCGCGUCGGCCGUGAAAACCUGCAGCUUAACUGUGGGCUUGCGGUCGAUACGGGCAUCACUGGAGUUCGGCAGGGGAGACUGGAAUUCCUGGUGUAGCGGUGAAAUGCGCAGAUAUCAGGAGGAACACCGGUGGCGAAGGCGGGUCUCUGGGCCGAUACUGACGCUGAGGAGCGAAAGCGUGGGGAGCGAACAGG